CAAGAGUGUCCAUGCUGCCCCUAUUCCUGCUCCAAAAGAACUGACAAAUAAAGAGGCAGAAAGGGAUAUGCUGCCUUCUCUGGAGCAGACUCUUUCUCCCUUAAGUAAAACGCCUCACUCUGUUCCACAACCCCUUGUUGAAAAAACUGAUGAUGAUGUCAUCGGUCAGGCUCCUGCUGAAGCCUCCCCUCCUCCCAUAGCUCCGAAACCUGCGACAAUUCCUGCUAGUCAGGUAUCCACACAAAAUCUGAAGACUUUGAAAACUUUUGGAGCCCCACGACCAUACUCAAAUUCUGGUCCUUCACCGUUUGCUCUUGCUGUAGUGAAGAGGUCACAGUCUUUCAGUAAAGAGCGCACCGAGUCACCUAGUGCCAGUGCAUCCGUCCAACCUCCAGCCAACACAGAAGAAGGGAAGACUCAUUCUGUAAAUAAAUUUGUAGACAUCCCACAACUUGGUGUGUCUGAUAAGUUCUGUGUAUUGGUGAAGUCAGCAGUAUUUAACUCAAGAACAAUAAAAUUACCACUGUAUUUAUGAAGCA
RNAcentral lists this small RNA (539 nucleotides) under Pongo abelii (Sumatran orangutan). RNAcentral's name for it is "processed transcript". The record is from RNAcentral. Lineage: Eukaryota; Metazoa; Chordata; Mammalia; Primates; Hominidae.